RNAcentral lists this ribosomal RNA (402 nucleotides) under uncultured bacterium. Its description in RNAcentral is "partial 16S ribosomal RNA". It matches the Rfam family "Bacterial small subunit ribosomal RNA", at positions 28 to 526 of the family's 1533-position model. The record is from RNAcentral.
GACGAACGCUGGCGGCGUGCCUAAUACAUGCAAGUCGAACGCAGUGGGGACGGGUGAGUAACACGUGGGUAACCUCCCAUCAGAGGGGAUAACACUUGGAAACAGGUGCUAAACCGAUACUGAUGGAUGGACCCGCGGUGCAUUAGCUAGUUGGUGAGGUAACGGCUCACCAAGGCCACGAUGCAUAGCGGACCUGAGGGGUUGGUAGGCCAAACAGGGACAGAGCAACGGCCCAGACUCCUGCGGGAGGCAGCAGUAGGGAAUCUUCGGCAAUGGACGAAAGUCUGACCGGGCAACGCAGCGUGAGUGAAGAAGGUUUUCGGAUCGUAAAACUCUGUUGUUAGGGAAGCGGUAUCUAACCAGAAAGCCACGGCAAACUACGUGCCAGCAGCCGCGUAAUAC